Molecule: ribosomal RNA, 462 nt
Filed under: uncultured bacterium
Lineage: Bacteria
Description: partial 16S ribosomal RNA
Rfam family: Bacterial small subunit ribosomal RNA
Source: RNAcentral
AACCAACGCUGGCGGCGUGCCUAAUACAUGCAAGUCGAACGGGGAAAGUAGCAAUAUGAGUACUAGUGGCGCACGGGUGAGUAACGCGUGGAUAAUCUGCCUUGAAGAGGGGGAUAACUAGUCGAAAGAUUAGCUAAUACCGCAUAAGACCACAAGAACUGAGGUUCAAGGGGUCAAAGGUUUUUCGCUUCAAGAUGAGUCCGCGUAAGAUUAGCUAGUUGGUGAGGUAAUGGCUCACCAAGGCAACGAUCUUUAACUGGUCUGAGAGGAUGAUCAGUCACACGGGAACGGAGACACGGUCCAGACUACUACGGGAGGCAGCAGUAGGGAAUAUUGCACAAUGGAGGAAACUCUGAUGCAGCGACGCCGCGUGAGUGAUGAAGGCCUUCGGGUCGUAAAGCUCUGUCGCAGGGGAAUAACACAAUGAAUGUACCCUGUAAGAAAGGAUCGGCUAACUUCGUG